RNAcentral lists this transfer RNA (69 nucleotides) under Ictidomys tridecemlineatus (thirteen-lined ground squirrel). RNAcentral's name for it is "Spermophilus tridecemlineatus (thirteen-lined ground squirrel) tRNA". It matches the Rfam family "tRNA". Rfam says of the family: Transfer RNA (tRNA) molecules are approximately 80 nucleotides in length. Their secondary structure includes four short double-helical elements and three loops (D, anti-codon, and T loops). The record is from Rfam by way of RNAcentral. Lineage: Eukaryota; Metazoa; Chordata; Mammalia; Rodentia; Sciuridae.
GGGGUUGUGGCUCAGAGGUUGAGCACUUGCCUAGCAUGCAUGAGGCACUGGGUUCGAUCCCUGGCACCA